This 118-nucleotide non-coding RNA is filed under the name Chattonella subsalsa. The record is from RNAcentral. Lineage: Eukaryota; Raphidophyceae; Chattonellales; Chattonellaceae.
AUAGUCAUACACCAGAAUCUUUGCAUUUGUUCCAGAACUUUGACGAAUAGAUACUAUUGACUGGUGUUGACAAUUAUGAAAAGUAGUGGCACUGCCAAAUAAAUUGUCAACAAUUUUA